Molecule: long non-coding RNA, 1930 nt
Organism: Nannospalax galili (Upper Galilee mountains blind mole rat)
Lineage: Eukaryota; Metazoa; Chordata; Mammalia; Rodentia; Spalacidae
Exons: 3
Source: RefSeq, a predicted model, not a curated record
UCAGUCUCUUUUGUUCUAGGUUCUGUUGUAAGAGACUGAAUUUCUUUCCUCCUUUCAUGGUUUUCCUUGUGUAACAAGCGCUGAACACUGCAGCAUGAAACUGGCUGACAUCACACCUUGUUGGGGGUCUGCAUUCAGAGGAGACUUUCUGGCUGGUGUGGAGGAGAUUCAUCUCUCUUAUGAAUGGCCAUGUGCUUUCAUUCUGUUAUUUCAUAUCCUUGGUGGGAUCUGAGAUGAUGGCCUUAAAAGACAGGAAUUCUUGUGAGAAACACAGAGCCUACUCUGCUCUCCAGGAUACUUUGGUUGACCUUUAUUGACUGUGAGAAGAGAGGCCUCCUGUGCUGUGUGAGAUCAGGACAGAGAAACCAAAGACUGGCUUGUUUCCUCUCGUCUAUGUCUCUGUUUAAAUAUUUUAUGAAUGAACGCAAGAAAGCAAAAGCAAGAAAAGAAUAACUAACUUGCAGAGUAAAAAUAAAGACUGCAGGAAAGAUCAAAGAGGAAGAUCCAGAUCCGGAGAUCAUGCACCAAGAAUUUUAAGUAGAGUUGUAGAUAAAAGAGAAAAGGUCAUACGGAAAAGAAGGAAAGGGUAGCCAAGCCCAGAAACUGUCCUCAUGUGGUCAGGAAGUGAGCAAGCCCUGGUUCUGCCCACCAUGUGCGAAAUAUCCAUCACUUUGACUCCACAGCUCCGGCUGACCUGACCCUGACCUCUGAUUCACAGACUGUUUGUACCGAGUUAUUCUUCACUGGAAGACGUUCCAUGGUUGCCAUGGUCAGACAGGGAAGCAUCUGAGUCCAGAUGGAGACAGCUCUGGUAACUGUGGCACCCCUACUGCGUCUUGUUGUGAUUGAGUUUGCGGUUUAUCAGUUACCAGUAUGGGUGCACUUCCCCUCAAGUAGCUUGAUUUUUUUGUUCUUAUGACUUGCUGUGCUUAGGACCUCCUCCCCCAUCGACUAAUUUUGAUUCCAGAAAGAGUCUUGAUGAUAUAAUCUGCUUGAUCAUUUCAUCUGGCCACUGUCCAAUUCCAAAUGGAAUGCACAAAAUUAAAAACACAUUAGAGGAAUCAUCAUGAGUUCAGAAAACAAUGCAUUUAUUUUCUUGACCUCUGAAGGAAGAGAGAUAGAAUGUUCUCUAGUAUAUGACAAGCUUAAAAUGUAUCUUAUUUUUAAUACAGAGAAAUUGAGGGGUCUACUCCUGAAGUAUAGUCUGUGUCCAUAGAACUGGUGUCUUUUAGAAGCUUCCUAGAAAUACAAACUUCUAGAUGAGGUCCAGGCCAGAUUACUGGUAUGCACAUGUGUUGUCUUGGAGCACUGUCCCAGAACACUGAGGAGCACUCAGGCCUAGUCUCCAGACAGUGGUCAUCUCUAGAACAUCCAAAGCCAGGAUAGACCUUGUGAUCUCCCUCCCAGCCUCCCACUGCCAGAGCACAUCAGCUUUUACCUCGAAUUUAAUGUGUUGCAGUCCCAAGCCAAACCUUAAAAAUGUAGCUUGUUGCACAGAUGACCUGAAAACCAUCACUCAAUGCGGCACAAGGCUGUGCGGGAUCUAAAACGACCCUAGAGUGUUUCACACGUGGGUCCAUUUUACCUGGAGAUUUGAUUUUUACUUGUCCUUAAACACCUCACACUAUUUUUGAAAGUAUUCGGAGUUGAUGGCUGCUGGGAGACAGGGAGAAAGACAGUUGUCUUAGAGGGAUGGGACUCUUGGUGAUCCCAAUGGAUGGAUCCACACUGAAGGACACUGGGGGACACAUAUCAUACUCCAUAGGCCGUAUUAUAUAUGAGUUUAUUAAAUUGGGGGAGCAGUGGGGGAGGUGCAGAGAGGGGAAUGGAUCUAGUGCCGUCAAACUAUAUGGUAUAAAAAUCACAAAAAUUCCAUUAAAAAUUCAAAAGGAGUAUACGCGGAUGUGAAGGACUCACUUAAAAAUGGAAU